Molecule: ribosomal RNA, 460 nt
Filed under: uncultured bacterium
Lineage: Bacteria
Description: partial 16S ribosomal RNA
Rfam family: Bacterial small subunit ribosomal RNA
Source: RNAcentral
CCUACGGGGCGCAGCAGUGAGGAAUAUUGGUCAAUGGACGAGAGUCUGAACCAGCCAAGUAGCGUGAAGGAUGACUGCCCUAUGGGUUGUAAACUUCUUUUAUAUGGGAAUAAAACGUUCCACGUGUGGGAUUUUGUAUGUACCAUAUGAAUACGGAUCGGCUAACUCCGUUCCAGCAGCCGCGGUAAUACGGAGGAUCCGAGCGUUAUCCGGAUUUAUUGGGUUUAAAGGGAGCGUAGGUGGAUUGUUAAGUCAGUUGGGAAAGUUUGCGGCUCAACCGUAAAAUUGCAGUUGAAACUGGCAGUCUUGAGUACAGUAGAGGUGGGCGGAAGUCGUGGUGUAGCGGUGAAAUGCUUAGAUAUCACGAAGAACUCCGAUUGCGAAGGCAGUUCACUGGACUGCAACUGACACUGAGGCUCGAAAGUGUGGGUAUCAACCAGGAUUAGAUACCCGAGUAGUC